UCAGGAUGAACGCUGGCGGCGUGCCUAAUACAUGCAAGUCGAACGGUCUGUGCCUUUCGGGGGACAGAUAGUGGCGAACGGGUGAGUAACGCGUGGGUAACCUGCCCUGAAGCGGGGGACAACAGCUCGAAAGGGCUGCUAAUACCCCCAUGGGCUGGCAUAGCUGUAGAGGCUGGUCAGCAAAGCCGCAAGGCGCUUUGGGAGGGGCCCGCGUCCCAUCAGCUAGUUGGUCGGGUAAUGGCCUACCAAGGCGAGGACGGGUAGGGGACCUGAGAGGGUGGCCCCCCACAAUGGAACUGAAACACGGUCCAUACACCUACGGGUGGCAGCAGUAGGGAAUAUUACAGAAUGGGCGCAAAAGCCUGAUGCAGCAACGCCGCGUGGGCGAUUGAAGGCCUUCGGGUCGUAAAGCCCUUUUGCGAGGGAAGAGGAAGGACGGUACCUCGCGAAUAAGCCUCGGCUAACUACGUGCCAGCCGCCGC
RNAcentral lists this ribosomal RNA (482 nucleotides) under uncultured bacterium. RNAcentral describes it as "bacterial SSU rRNA". It matches the Rfam family "Bacterial small subunit ribosomal RNA", at positions 24 to 518 of the family's 1533-position model. The record is from RNAcentral.